GUUGGGAGUGAGGUGCUGGAUUCAGCCCUUGUCUGUCUGACAAGAGCAGGUUCUACGACCUUAAGGCCGAUUUGGGAUGCGAUCAGUAGUACAGAAAGCAGCUGAGGUUUUCAAGGAUGCAUAGUUUAUACUGAGAGAAACUGGAACCCCUCUUUACAGAUCUCCACAAAGUAAAUUGGAACAUGAGCUGCUGAAAGGACAAGAGUGAUGCCUCAGCUGAAACUCUGUUAUGACAGAUUUUAUUAAACCUCCACUGAAGUACUUCGCAUGUGCAGAACUGUAGACAUUUUAGGACAAGGGGGACCACUGGAAAAUUUCAAGGAAGUUGGGGGUGUACCCGUCACAAGCAGGAGGCAAGGUCUUAUGCCCGCUGCAGCCCAUGUGCCGAAGAUUCACUGCCACCGGUCUACAUAUGCUGGAUUCUCAUUGAAGUUGCUCAGAUUGCGCUGUUUGGACCAGGGGCAGCCACGCGGGGGUGGCACAGGGGUGCGCUGCUCGGCCCGGCAGUGUGCAGCUCGGAGCCGUGGUGGACCUGCUGCCGGCCCGGGGAGGCUGAGGAGGCCCUGGCUGCCUGUGUUCUUUCCAAGCCUGGGGCUCCUGCUGCCCAUCCCAGCUGUCAAAUCCUCACUCUGGGAGCUUCCAUCAGGGCUGUGGGGAGCCGCAUCUCCCUCGCAGCACCCUGCUGUGCGGACCUUUUGCCUCAACAAAUAAAAACACAAUACUCUUCUUGGUAAAAAAAAUAAAGCAUGUUUCGUAGAAAAUUAACAAGGCAAGUAUUAUUAAAAAGAACAAGAACUGCCCAUCAUUUGAACACCCAGAGCUUCAUCAUUUUAACAUUUAGGUGUGGAUCCUUUCAUCUUUUUGUCUGUGAGACUAGCAUAGAAAAGAAUAGAGAACCUUUUUUUUUCAUAAACUUGGAACCUCCUGAGUUUCUGUCAUUCCCAGCCCUUCGUUCUGCCUUUGUUCUCUGAUGCUGUAGUUGAAAGCAGAUCUCCUUCCUCUCCUUCACACACCGGCUCACCCACUUCGACCCACGCGCGCUCUCGAUUUCCUGCUGGCUCAGCCUGGACAGCAGCUCCUCCGCGAGUGCGAGCGCUGGUGCUCUGCAGUUCCAGGGACCCCAGGAGCAACCUGCUCCCCCUCAGGGCCAGAGUCGCUAAGAACUGGGUCAGAGAAAGCCCAAAGAGCAGCCUGGGCUGUGUGAGGUUAUGGAGUUGAAGUCCAGAGCAUAGAAACUCUACUGAACUUUUUACUAAAUUAGAGAAUAAGACAAAGCAGAAAUUGAAAGCACAGAUUUUUGAGGAAAUUUAUCUGUGAAAUCAGAAGGAUGGGUUAGUGAGACAAAGUGAGAACUGGAAUGUGGGAAAAUUGGGAAUGUUUGGACAAAACAGAUGUGGCAGCCAGGUAUGGUGGUAUGUGCCUAUAAUCCCAGUAUUCUGGGAAAGCUGAGGCAGGAGGAUGGCAAGUUAGAAACCAGCCUGGGCUAUUUAGCAAAGAGUUUGUCUGGAAUGAGUGAGUGAAGGAAUGAAUGAAUGGGCUGGGAGUGUAGCUCAGUGUGAAGACCCUGGGUUCAAUUCCCAGUGCUUAGGAAGAAACCCAACACAACAGAACCAAAUAAACCAAAACAAAGAAGUGAAGGCAGAGACACGCACAGUCUCAAAUACAUCAAAUGCUGAUAAUUAUUAAACCUGCAUUGUAAGUUUCCAGAUUUUGUUAUCUCCCGCUCUGUAAAGCAUUUAAUAAAAAAUAAAUGUUGGUUUUUAUUUUACAAUACUAGAAAUGAAAGAAAUUAAAAAAUAAUUGGUAUCCUAAUUCAUGGAUUUUUUUUUUUUUUUUUUUGGUUUUUUUCCUGGUACCGGGAAAAGAACUCACAACCUUGCACUUGCUGGGCAGGCGCUGUGCUGCUGAGCUAAAUCCCCAGCCCCCUAAUUCAUGGAUUGAGUUAACUAACAGUUGUUCUCUAUGCUGUGCAUGGAUCAUUAUUUUUUUUAAAUUUUGGAUCAUUUUUUUGAAGAAUAUGAUUGCAAUUCUUAACAGUCAUAAUUCUAUGAAUAUAAUUAUGAAUUUAGAUUCUUAUAGCUGAAGCUGUUCACUUGUAUUUACUAUGUGAUACUAUUUUUUUUUUUCUUUUUUUUGGUACCGGGAAUCGAACUCACGACCUCACGCUUGCCAGGGAUACUAUAUAUUUUGAAAUAGGAAGUCAAGCUGAAAUCUUUAUUAAUUUCAUGAUACAUGCCAAAAGUAACUAAUUGUUUGAAGUAUUUUUUAAAAAAAUUUAUUUACUUACUUUAGCUUUUGGAGACUGGGUCUCGCUGUGUAGUACUGGUGGCUUUGAACUCGCUGUGUAGCCCAGGCUGGUCUCCCACACCCUGCAGUGCUCCCGUGUGCUGGGAGUACAGCUGUGCACCACUACACUGGAAACUUCUGUUUUAAGUGGUGUCUUUCUCAUCGUUGUUCUAAAGUAAAAUCAGUGGUGAUGAUGCCAAAAAAUUGAAGGCGAGAGUUACCAUCAAUAAGCCUUGAAUAGUAGGUAACUGGCGAUUAAAUACUGUGAUUUGGUUUUCUUCUUACCUGAAUUUUUUUAAAAUUUAUUUUAUUUUACUUAUUCUUUAUUUUGAGACACUGGCUAUGCAGUUCAGGCUGGCCGGAACUCCUAGCAGUCUUGCCUCAGCCUCCCUAGUGCUGGGACUACUGGCAUGUGCCACCUUGGCUGGCUUGCCUGGAUUAUUUUCGGUUUCUUGUAUAAUAUACAGUCCACAUUCAGGUUUCCUCACUUGUCUCACAAAUACGGGGUCCACCCUGAGGGCAGUGACGACUAUUGGGUAUUGAAUUUUCCUCUUCCAGAUCUUUGGGAAUGAAAUGCUGUGGUCCAC
RNAcentral lists this long non-coding RNA (2873 nucleotides) under Chinchilla lanigera (long-tailed chinchilla). Its description in RNAcentral is "lncRNA (ENSCLAG00000028880.1)". Lineage: Eukaryota; Metazoa; Chordata; Mammalia; Rodentia; Chinchillidae. The record is from RNAcentral.